RNAcentral lists this ribosomal RNA (480 nucleotides) under uncultured bacterium. Its description in RNAcentral is "partial 16S ribosomal RNA". It matches the Rfam family "Bacterial small subunit ribosomal RNA", at positions 29 to 507 of the family's 1533-position model. The record is from RNAcentral.
AUGAACGCUGGCGGCGUGCUUAACCCAUGCCAGUCGCACGAAGCACUUUAUUUGAUUUCCUUCGGGACUGAUUAUUUUGUGACUGAGUGGCGGACGGGUGAGUAACGCGUGGGUAACCUGCCUUGUACAGGGGGAUAACAGUUGGAAACGGCUGCUAAUACCGCAUAAGCGCACAGCAUCGCAUGAUGCAGUGUGAAAAACUCCGGUGGUAUAAGAUGGACCCGCGUUGGAUUAGCUAGUUGGUGAGGUAACGGCCCACCAAGGCGACGAUCCAUAGCCGACCUGAGAGGGUGACCGGCCACAUUGGGACUGAGACACGGCCCAAACUCCUACGGGAGGCAGCAGUGGGGAAUAUUGCACAAUGGGCGAAAGCCUGAUGCAGCGACGCCGCGUGAGCGAAGAAGUAUUUCGGUAUGUAAAGCUCUAUCAGCAGGGAAGAUAAUGACGGUACCUGACUAAGAAGCACCGGCUAAAUACGUG